RNAcentral lists this transfer RNA (72 nucleotides) under Bos taurus (domestic cattle). It matches the Rfam family "tRNA". Rfam says of the family: Transfer RNA (tRNA) molecules are approximately 80 nucleotides in length. Their secondary structure includes four short double-helical elements and three loops (D, anti-codon, and T loops). RNAcentral also lists the same sequence under 2 other names. The record is from Rfam by way of RNAcentral. Lineage: Eukaryota; Metazoa; Chordata; Mammalia; Artiodactyla; Bovidae.
UCCCAGAUAGCUCAGUUGGUAAAGUAUCUGCCUGCAAUGCAGGAGACCCUGGUUCAACUCCUGGGUUGGGAA